Long non-coding RNA from Ananas comosus (pineapple), 2356 nucleotides. RefSeq lists it as uncharacterized. The record is from RefSeq and is a predicted model, not a curated record. The transcript is spliced from 2 exons. Lineage: Eukaryota; Viridiplantae; Streptophyta; Magnoliopsida; Poales; Bromeliaceae.
CCGGCUCCUUUGCUCGCUCCUCUAGGUGCCGCUUCGACUCCUAUUCCCUCUCUGGACGGACUGUUGGGCCGAGUUCAUGGCCGGACUUCUUGCCGCCGCGCCCGUUCCCUUUGCCGACGCUUCGUUUCGUUCGCCCCCUAGAUGCCGCUCCGACUCCUAUUCCCUCUCUGGAUGGAAUGUUGGGCCGAGUUCAUGGUCGUCCUUUCUUCCGGUCGCGCCGUUCCUGUUAGCGGCACUUCGUUUCGGCUUAUUCAUUCCCCCCGGUCACGAAAAUGGCUCGGAUUCAUCCUCCGUGGUCCCUUCUUGCUGCCUAUAUAAUAUGCCUCUGUAAAAAUUUUAUUUGCAAAAAAAAAAAACCCUAUUACUCUCUUUCUGAUUUUUUCCAUCUCUGAUUUGGUAACGAGCCCUCCGCGGCCUUCGAUUUCAUCUCCGCGGCCUUCGAUUUCAUCUCCGCGGGCUUCGAUUUCAUCUAAAAAGGUGCCGCUCCGACUCCUGUUCCUUCUCUGGACGGACUGUUGGGCUGAGUUCAUGGCCGGACUUCUUGCCGUCGCGCCCGUUUCCUUUGUCGACGCUUCGUUUCGUUCGCCCCCUAGAUGCCGCUCCGACUUCUAUUCCCUCUCUGGAUGGAAUGUUGGGCCAAGUUCAUGGUCGUCCCUUCUUUCGGUCGCGCCGUUCCUGUUAGCGGCGCUUCAUUUCGGCUUAUUCAUCCCCUCCGGUUACGAAAAUGGCUCGGAUUCAUUCUCCGCGGUCCCUUCUUGCUGCCUAUAUAAUAUGCCUCUGUAAAAAUUUUAUUUGUAGCAAAAAAAACUCUAUUUCUCUGCUGGUUGGGUAUCAACUAGGAUGGCAGUUACUAAAUAAAUGCAACCAGUAAUUACCCCCAACAAGAAAUACAUAAGCUAUUGAGAACAUAUAACUAUACGUGGCACCUUUUCUCGAUGACUUCUGAAAUGAUAAAAAUAUUAUUGUUGACUAUUGAUAAUACUCAUUACAUGUCUGAGCCUAUAGUAAAAAUUGAAUUUUACUACCUGUUUAUCUUUUACGAUUUGCUCAAAUUUCUACUACUACUGCUUAUACUCCUUAUGAUGUAUAUUUUACUAUUAGUUUAGGUUUGCAUUUUUUUCCCCUUUUUUUUCUAUAUUGUUUCUUACUACAAGUUCUUAUUGAUAUUUCUCUAGCUUCUACUAAAUCUUAGGUGCUGCUUCUUCAUUUUAUUUCGCUUUAUAUCUUUCGAUUAUUGUGAUGAUGUUUUUUUUACUUUUAUAAUCAAUUUUCGAAGAUGCUGCUUCACUUGAUCUUUUGCUACUAUUGUUUCAUCUACUGCAUAUGUGGAUUGGAAAAAGACAUUGCAUAUUUACUAUUAGUUCUAAUUCAUUAAUUCUUUCUUUUGUAUACCGAAUACUUUUCAUUACCUUUCAUUUAUUUACAUAUAAUUUCUGACGAAAUCAGAUUUUCAUUAGUCAACGUGGAGGUAUUUCCUUAAUUUAGGUAGGUAUACUUUCUGAUUAAAUUCUAUUUCCUUUUCUUAUAUUUGGACUUUUGUACAACAUACCUAUCAGUUUAACUAUCUUGCUUAAUUGUGUGUUUGUAUGAGAUUUGUGUCUACUCUAUCUGCCAGCUUAACUUAUCUAUCGGCUUAACUCAUAUUUUACAAAGUAAAUUAACUAGGAUGAAAAUUGCGAAAUAAUUGCAACCAGUGUGUUCUGUAUAUUAUUUUUUUUAUUGUUGUGAUGGUGUUUUCUUACUAUUCCACUUAAAAUUAUUUGACUAUAAGUUCUGCAACUUAUAUAUUCUAAUGAAUUUUGUAAGUUGCUGCUUCACUUCAUUUUUGUAUUACUACAAUCGCAUAUUUUUGGGACAAGCAGGUUAGUAACAUUUCUUAACCAACUUUUUUUAUUAGUCAUAUUUUAUUCUUUCUUUAAUUUUUUACUGACUAUUGCCUUUUCUUUCAGCUAACUCUUGCACUCUUUCCUCGGCUUCUACAACUCUAGAUUUUAUUGUAUCUAUGGUCACUCCUGCUGCUGUUGAAUUAACUGCUUAUACUUUUAUUUGUUUGUUACUCCAAAUUUUUUAGUUUUUUUAUGUAUUUGCUAUUUCGCCUUUAACUGUAUUCCAUAUUUUAUACUUAAAAUAGUUGCUACUUUUAUUAUUGUGGUGAUAGCUUAUAUGUUAUGAGGAAUGAAAAAAAAAAAAAAAAAAUUUUUGAGAAAUAGGUAGCUCGCUACUCGCUUCAUUCAUUAGGAAUGAGAAAAAAAAUGUUAUACUACUAUUUCUACUAUUUACUUCUAAAUCUUAUGUGAGUUCAUUAUAUUUUAUACUUUGAAGUUUUUCAAGUAUGCCAGACGUUUUGUUGUUUAAA